RNAcentral lists this ribosomal RNA (250 nucleotides) under uncultured beta proteobacterium. RNAcentral's name for it is "partial 16S ribosomal RNA". It matches the Rfam family "Bacterial small subunit ribosomal RNA", at positions 86 to 339 of the family's 1533-position model. The record is from RNAcentral. Lineage: Bacteria; Pseudomonadati; Pseudomonadota; Betaproteobacteria.
UGAUGGCGAGUGGCGAACGGGUGAGUAAUAUAUCGGAACGUGCCUAGUAAUGGGGAACAACUAAUCGAAAGGUUAGCUAAUACCGCAUACGAUCUAUGGAUGAAAGCGGGGGACCUUCGGGCCUCGCGCGAUUGGAGCGGCCGAUGUUAGAUUAGGUAGUUGGUGGGGUAAAGGCUCACCAAGCCGACGAUCUAUAGCUGGUCUGAGAGGACGACCAGCCACACUGGAACUGAGACACGGUCCAGACUCC